AAUAAGUACAGUUUUGCACUAUUCACGUUCAACGUUUGACCGUUCGUCUUAUUUAUUUUUUUUUAUAAUUAGUAUUUUUAUUGCUAUUAGAUGAUAAAACAUGAAUAGUACUUUAUGUGUGACUAAAUAUUUUCAAAUUUUUCACAAAUUUUUUAAAUAAGACGGACGGUCAAACGUUGAGCACAAAUAUCUACGACUGCACUUAUU
Molecule: microRNA precursor, 207 nt
Organism: Oryza sativa Japonica Group (Japanese rice)
Lineage: Eukaryota; Viridiplantae; Streptophyta; Magnoliopsida; Poales; Poaceae
Rfam family: MIR812 microRNA precursor family
Source: Rfam